AGAGUUUGAUUCUGGCUCAGGAUGAACGCUGGCGGCGUGCCUAACACAUGCAAGUCGAACGGAGUUAUGCAGAGGAAGUUUUCGGAUGGAAUCGGCGUAACUUAGUGGCGGACGGGUGAGUAACGCGUGGGAAACCUGCCCUGUACCGGGGGAUAACACUUAGAAAUAGGUGCUAAUACCGCAUAAGCGCACAGCUUCACAUGAGGCAGUGUGAAAAACUCCGGUGGUACAGGAUGGUCCCGCGUCUGAUUAGCCAGUUGGCAGGGUAACGGCCUACCAAAGCGACGAUCAGUAGCCGGCCUGAGAGGGUGAACGGCCACAUUGGGACUGAGACACGGCCCAAACUCCUACGGGAGGCAGCAGUGGGGAAUAUUGCACAAUGGGGGAAACCCUGAUGCAGCGACGCCGCGUGAGUGAAGAAGUAUUUCGGUAUGUAAAGCUCUAUCAGCAGGGAAGAAAAUGACGGUACCUGACUAAGAAGCCCCGGCUAACUACGUGCCAGCAGCCGCGGUAAUACGUAGGGGACAAGCGUUAUCCGGAUUUACUGGGUGUAAAGGGAGCGUAGAAGGCAUGACAAGCCAGAUGUGAAAACCCAGGGCUCAACCCUGGGACUGCAUUUGGAACUGCCAGGCUGGAGUGCAGGAGAGGUAAGCGGAAUUCCUAGUGUAGCGGUGAAAUGCGUAGAUAUUAGGAGGAACACCAGUGGCGAAGGCGGCUUACUGGACUGUAACUGACGUUGAGGCUCGAAAGCGUGGGGAGCAAACAGGAUUAGAUACCCUGGUAGUCCACGCGGUAAACGAUCUUAAAGAGGUGUAGGUGGGUAUGGACCCCAUCGGUGCCGCAGGUAACGCAAUAAGCAAUCCACCUGGGGGGUACGUUCGCAAGAAGAAAAUUCAAAGGAAUUGACGGGGCCCCGCACAAGCGGUGGAGCAUGUGGUUUAAUUCGAAGCAACGCGAAGAACCUUACCAAGUCUUGACAUCCCAAUGACGUGCCCGUAACGGGGCAUUCUCUUCUGAGCAUUGGAGACAGGUGGUGCAUGGUUGUCGUCAGCUCGUGUCGUGAGAUGUUGGGUUAAGUCCCGCAACGAGCGCAACCCUUAUCCUUAGUAGCCAGCAGGUAAAGCUGGGCACUCUAGGGAGACUGCCGGGGAUAACCCGGAGGAAGGCGGGGAGGACGUCAAAUCAUCAUGCCCCCUAUGAUUUGGGCUACACACGUGCUACAAUGGCGUAAACAAAGGGAAGCGAGACAGUGAUGUUGAGCAAAUCCCAGAAAUAACGUCUCAGUUCGGAUUGUAGUCUGCAACUCGACUACAUGAAGCUGGAAUCGCUAGUAAUCGCGAAUCAGCAUGUCGCGGUGAAUAAAAUCCCGGGUCUUGCACA
RNAcentral lists this ribosomal RNA (1380 nucleotides) under uncultured bacterium. RNAcentral's name for it is "bacterial SSU rRNA". It matches the Rfam family "Bacterial small subunit ribosomal RNA". The record is from RNAcentral.